Molecule: long non-coding RNA, 185 nt
Filed under: Anser brachyrhynchus (Pink-footed goose)
Lineage: Eukaryota; Metazoa; Chordata; Aves; Anseriformes; Anatidae
Description: lncRNA (ENSABRG00000002260.1)
Source: RNAcentral
CCAGAUUCAGUAAAGAAUGCACUGCAGUUUACACCAAAAACUGGAAGAAGUCUCUAACUUGAGGAAAACUUGCAUUUCCAUUUGGACAGAUUCUGACUUGCAGGAGAAAGUAAUUUCACUGCACUUGGGAAGCUCAGGUAUGAUGAAGGUCCUCACAGAGCACAUGAAUUUAAGAAUGAUCCUGG